RNAcentral lists this ribosomal RNA (424 nucleotides) under uncultured bacterium. RNAcentral's name for it is "bacterial SSU rRNA". It matches the Rfam family "Bacterial small subunit ribosomal RNA", at positions 354 to 796 of the family's 1533-position model. The record is from RNAcentral.
GUGGGGGAUAUUGCACAAUGGAGGAAACUCUGAUGCAGCGACGCCGCGUGAGGGAAGACGGUCUUCGGAUUGUAAACCUCUGUCUUUGGGGACGAUAAUGACGGUACCCAAGGAGGAAGCUCCGGCUAACUACGUGCCAGCAGCCGCGGUAAUACGUAGGGAGCGAGCGUUGUCCGGAAUUACUGGGUGUAAAGGGAGCGUAGGCGGGGUCUCAAGUCGAAUGUUAAAUCUACCGGCUCAACUGGUAGCUGCGUUCGAAACUGGGGCUCUUGAGUGAAGUAGAGGCAGGCGGAAUUCCUAGUGUAGCGGUGAAAUGCGUAGAUAUUAGGAGGAACACCAGUGGCGAAGGCGGCCUGCUGGGCUUUUACUGACGCUGAGGCUCGAAAGCGUGGGGAGCAAACAGGAUUAGAAACCCGAGUAGUCC